This is a long non-coding RNA of Clupea harengus (Atlantic herring), 2861 nucleotides long. RefSeq lists it as uncharacterized. The record is from RefSeq and is a predicted model, not a curated record. Lineage: Eukaryota; Metazoa; Chordata; Actinopteri; Clupeiformes; Clupeidae. The transcript has 3 exons.
UGAUUACGAGUUGGUUACUUAAAAUGGUCGUUCAUUGCUUCUACUCAGCUAUCCCGAAAUACACAUGCACUUGAUCUAUUGAAAAUUUGGCUCAAGAGACCUACUCAGUGCAGCCCAUAUCAGACUGGGAAAAAAUAAAUGCCAUUUUUGUACUUUGUCUUAAAGGUUGGCUGUGGGUAAUAAAAAACAUGCAGUAAAUAUUUCUUUCUCCCUGAACUAUUUGUGGCAGAAAUAUCUUUGCUAAGGGAAGGUUGUAAUCUUUUACUUGUUUGGGAAUUUCCUGGAAGAGAUGGCAUAACCAUGAAACUAAUUUGCUUGCUACCAUACUCGUCACAUAGACACUGAAGUUAGAGUGGAAUAGUUUAUUCCACUCUGCUGUUAAGGAAUAACAAUAGUCUUUGCAUUGAUAAGAUAACCCCACAAAUGUGAUGUUGUGUACAGCCACUGAAGAGCAUGUGGUCCCCGAAUGAAUGAAAACCAAUAAGGAAGUAAGAGGAGAGUACGCUGAGCUGAUACAAUGGGGGUGGGGUGAGGGUGGGGUGGGCAGAGAGGAGGAGGAGGAGGAAGACAUACAACCUGCAAAACUGCUUUGUCACUGCAUGUGACAACACAACACAGGUUGUGAGAAUUAAAAAAGUUAGCAGAUCCAAUCCAGGCAGGUGUCCAGAAAAGAAAAUAAAUAGUUCAGGAAAAAAAAGAAAUAGUUUUGGAUUGUCUGGUGUAAUUCAGUAUUAUUUUGUGACUUCUAUUGCCAUUGUUGUCAUAAUUGUUUACACUGAAUGAUGUUCUUCCUUCCAGGUGUUGACACUAAGUAAUACAUUUGCUGCACCUGUAGAUUAGAUCAUGUGACCUAUUCAUUGUUGUCCUGUCUUUGGGUAUUUAUGGGCUGUCCUCUCAUAUCUCAUUGUCUCAUGAAGACCAUUGUGAUGCGAAACAUCCCCUUUUGGUGAGAACUUUAAUGAGGUACUUCAAGGGAGGAGCAGUGCGCAAGAUUUCGUUUAUUUUCUAACACAAUACAGGUUUACAGUGUUCAUCCCAAACACUGUUUAACUCACUAUGGAGAAUCUCUGAUACAGGCUGCUGUGUGCCAGUACAGAGUUGGAGGGCCAUGCUUUGCUCUGGUUUUCCCACAGCCUGGUCUUAGUCAUCACAAACUCAAAGGAAAAUCUGAUAGAGCAAGAAUCUUUCUCCAGUGAAGCAGACCACAGGCCUUUUUUGUUAGGCCCAAAGAUGAUCUUGGAUCAAGAAGGCAAAAGCAUGUACAUCAUGCUCCAUAAUCUUCAUCACUGGUCGGUGCGUUUUCAUGAAUAAUAACGGAGUGGUAUGCUGGAAACACCGACCUACCCACGACUGUGAAAACCGUAGUAGCUGCGCCGCAUAUAGCCUUCUGUCGUUCAAACCACCAUAGCUCCAACAACGUUGUUAAUAUUCAUGACCACCUGCCAUGGCCUAACAGCUACCUGCACACGUGCAGUGGCUUCAAGGUAGGAGGAUGCUUUUCUCGAAAGCGUCGUCACCGGGGUUCAAGGGUUCAUUCAAGAUGAAUGAAUAUUCAUUUCAAAUUGUAUGAUAAGUGAAAUUCUCUGUUGGCGGGUGUUCAGGUAGGUAGGGAGAGGGUCAAUCUUGUCAAACUAGCUCAAUUCAAAUGUUGUCAACAGCAGAUAUCCAGGAACGAUGCUUACAAUGACUGGUCUCGAGUUCCAACCACCCAACUUUGUGACCAUGUUUGCGAAUAAUCGUUGGAACUGGAAGCUUUUGGGAAAAACACCAAAUCACUGAAUGACUGUUGCAACGACCAAGAUUGCGAUGGUGGUUAGAAAACAACGCUUUCUAGAAACACACCCCAGAUCCAUUGUGUUGUGGAUUUGUAUGGGACAUGCUGUAGAUAUGUGGGGUGAAUAGGCUUUAAAGCUUAGUUGGCACACAGUAUCCCAGAAUGUAAUCACACAUCCUCUCACUUUGACUUGGAUGCCCUGCUCUCUCAAACUGUCUGUCUUUUCAUCUCACUUUCAUUGUUCUUUGUUUUUUCUCUUUCUCUUUUCCUCUUAGUCAUUUGCUGUUUACAGUUCGGUGCUAAUCUAAUUUCUCAUAGAGUCCUGAACUUCCUCCUCUGAAGAGGUCAGUGAUGUAUGAUUCAGGCACUACUAGUAUCCUUGGUCAAUGGAUGAAUCAUUUAAUUGAAAACUGGUUUAAAAGGAAUCAUAAGGCAAACACAAGUCUGCCUAACAGACCAAUUCUGUCUUGCUUUAAGGAUAGAGAUCAAGCUAACGCAUUGUCAAACCAUCAGCCACUCUGCCCUGAGGGCAGUUAACAGUCGCACAAUCUGAUGGUAUGGAACGCCCAUUAUGGUUAUCACAGAAAUCAGAUGUUGUUGCAUAGCUAACUACUUGCCAAAAUGAAUACUUGCAUGGACAUUUAACAUGCUACAUGGUUGUAGCUUUGAAUUGCUGUGAAAAGUGGGAUCCGUGCCUAUCUAUUUCUCCCAUGCCCAUCUAUUUCUCCCAUGCCCUUAACUGCACUCUAGCUGGAAUAUGAUGUGAGGGUGUUGGGUAGGAAUGUGACAGGACUUUUUCUCCUCAUACUAGCUGUGGGAAAAGUAUCAACACACUGAUUCAUUUACCUUUGUGAGUUGUUAUGGAAACCAUGGGGGCAGUAGACCAUGCAAGGUCAUGCCUGAGGGUAACUGAUCAGCUCGGGGGUGCACAAGGUUUCUUGUCAGUCUCUUUUAAGAUGUCUAUUAAAGCAGUGAUGCACAGUAUUCACUUGGGUGUGCAUAUACAAGUAGGUUCAACACACUCUCAAAUAACCUCUACCAAGACGGGGAGACAGACUAUUUAUUGUGGCCAGAUCGGAACAGCACA